AAGGAUCAUUACAAAUCCACGUCUCUUUGAGACACGUUGAAAUGUUGGUGUUGGAGGGCUGCGCUCAAGGGGUGCUGGUGCGUUGUAGUUAUGUUUUCAAGGUUAGAGGGUCGGUCAGGGUCACCUUGCUUGUUUGCUUGGUCACCCCCCACCCCCUCUUCCUACAUAUACUACUACUACUACUAGACAUGCCUUGAGCAGCAAGCAGCCCUUUCCUUCACUCUUUGACAAGUGUUUGAUCAGUUGUAUUUUAAAAAGUUUUACACAACUUAUAACAAUGGAUCUCUAGGCUCUU
This 295-nucleotide unclassified non-coding RNA is filed under the name uncultured fungus. RNAcentral's name for it is "partial contains 18S rRNA, ITS1, 5.8S rRNA, ITS2 and 28S rRNA". The record is from RNAcentral. Lineage: Eukaryota; Fungi.